ACAUUGGUGGUUCAGUGGUAAAAUUCUUGCCUUCUAUGCGGGAGACCCAGGUUUGAUUCCCAGCCAAUGCA
RNAcentral lists this transfer RNA (71 nucleotides) under Loxodonta africana (African savanna elephant). It matches the Rfam family "tRNA". From Rfam's summary of the family: Transfer RNA (tRNA) molecules are approximately 80 nucleotides in length. Lineage: Eukaryota; Metazoa; Chordata; Mammalia; Proboscidea; Elephantidae. The record is from Rfam by way of RNAcentral.